AAAAACUAGGACUCAUAGCUAAACUUAAUACCUCUAUUAGUGGUAGAGGAGCAUUGUAUUAGAGACGAAGCCAAGGCGAAAGCAAAAGUGGAUCUAAUACAAGAGAGAAUGCUGGCAUGAGUAGCGAGAAGGGAUGUGAGAAUCAUCCCCGUCGAAACCCUAAGGACUCCUGAGCAAGGCUCGUCCCCUCAGGGAAAGUCGGGACCUAAGCCAAGGCCGAAAGGCGUAGGCGAUGGAUAACAGGUUUAUAUUCCUGUACCGCUUGAAGUCGUUAAGAGAGAAGUGAUGACGCAAAAGGAUAAGCAAAGCCAUCAGAUGGAAAAGAUGGUCUAAAGCCGUAGGAAGAAAAGUAGGCAAAUCCGCUUUUCACAAAUUCUAAAAGCCGAUAGGUAUCGAAAACAUAAGUAGAGAAGUUGCCGAUUCCAGGUUGCCAAGAAAAGUCACUAUCCAGACCAAAGCGCCCGUACCAAAACCGACACAGGUAGGGAGGUAGAGAAUACCAAGACGCGCGGAAGAACCUUUGUUAAGGAACUCGGCAAAAUGUCCCCGUAACUUCGGGAGAAGGGGAGCCUGAGCAAUCAGGCCACAGAAACCAGGCCCAAGCGACUGUUUACCAAAAACACAAGUUUCUGCAAAAUCGCAAGAUGAAGUAUAGGAGCUGACACCUGCCCGGUGCUGGAAGGUUAAGGGGAAGGCUUAGAGCAAUCGAAGGCUAGAACUUAAGCCCCAGUAAACGGCGGCCGUAACUAUAACGGUCCUAAGGUAGCGAAAUUCCUUGUCGGGUAAGUUCCGACCCGCACGAAAGGUGUAACGAUUUGGGCACUGUCUCAACAAAGGAUCCGGUGAAAUUGUAGUAGUCGUGAAGAUGCGACUUACCCACGCUAGGACGGAAAGACCCCGUGGAGCUUUACUGUAGGCUGAUAUUGGAUUUUGAGAUUAAAUGUACAGGAUAGUUGGGAGACUGAGAUAUCUGGAUGCCAAUCUAGGAGGAGUCACUGGUGGGAUACCAACCUUUUAAUAUCAAAGUUCUAACCAUAGCCCUUGAAUCAGGGCAUGGGACAUUGUCAGUUGGGCAGUUUGACUGGGGCGGUCGCCUCCUAAAAAGUAACGGAGGCGUUCAAAGGUUCGCUCAGAAUGGACGGAAACCAUUCGCAGAGUAUAAAGGCAUAAGCGAGCUUAACUGCGAGAGCUACAACUCAAGCAGAGUCGAAAGACGGACUUAGUGAUCCGGUGGUACCGCAUGGAAGGGCCAUCGCUCAACGGAUAAAAGCUACCCCGGGGAUAACAGGCUUAUCUCCCCCAAGAGUCCACAUCGACGGGGAGGUUUGGCACCUCGAUGUCGGCUCGUCUCAUCCUGGGGCUGGAGUAGGUCCCAAGGGUUGGGCUGUUCGCCCAUUAAAGAGGCACGCGAGCUGGGUUCAGAACGUCGUGAGACAGUUCGGUCCCUAUCCAGCGUGGGCGUAAGAAAUUUGAGAGGAGCUGUCCUUAGUACGAGAGGACCGGGAUGGACGCACCAAUGGUGUACGAGUUGUUAGGCCACUAGCAUGGCUCGGUAGCUAAGUGCGGGAAUGAUAAGUACUGAAAGCAUCUAAGUACGAAGCAUGCCUCAAGAUAAGAUUUCUCAGAGUAGGUAAAGAAAAUACCUUAGAUAGGUCCAAGGUGUAAGUGCAGUAAUGUAUUAAGCUAAUGGAUACUAAACUUUAAAUCUUGACUGG
Molecule: ribosomal RNA, 1715 nt
Filed under: Anaerococcus sp. HMSC075B03
Lineage: Bacteria; Bacillati; Bacillota; Tissierellia; Tissierellales; Peptoniphilaceae
Description: bacterial LSU rRNA
Rfam family: Bacterial large subunit ribosomal RNA
Source: RNAcentral